This 127-nucleotide transfer RNA is filed under the name Pseudonocardia sp. EV170527-09. Its description in RNAcentral is "tRNA-Ser". Lineage: Bacteria; Bacillati; Actinomycetota; Actinomycetes; Pseudonocardiales; Pseudonocardiaceae. The record is from RNAcentral.
GGGAGCUGCGCUAGAGUGGUACUGCCAGCACUUUUCUACGUGCGCGACCGUUCUUGAACCCGUAUGUCCCGUCCUUGAAAGCGGGCGUCCGAAAGGACCGGGGGUUCGAAUCCCCCCGCUUCCGCCA